Molecule: ribosomal RNA, 253 nt
Filed under: uncultured bacterium
Lineage: Bacteria
Description: partial 16S ribosomal RNA
Rfam family: Bacterial small subunit ribosomal RNA
Source: RNAcentral
UACGGAGGGGGCUAGCGUUGUUCGGAAUUACUGGGCGUAAAGCGCGCGUAGGUGGACCUGCAAGUCGGGGGUGAAAGCCCGAGGCUCAACCUCGGAACUGCCUUCGAUACUGCGGGUCUCGAGUCCGGGAGAGGUGAGUGGAAUUCCUAGUGUAGAGGUGAAAUUCGUAGAUAUUAGGAAGAACACCAGUGGCGAAGGCGGCUCACUGGCCCGGUACUGACGCUGAGGCGCGAAAGCGUGGGGAGCAAACAGG